AGAGUUUGAUUAUGGCUCAGAACGAGCGCUGGCGGCGCGUUUAAGCAUGCAAGUCGAGCGGCAAGGGCCUUCGGGCCCCUAGAGCGGCGGACGGGUGAGUAACACGUGGACAAUCUGCCCCCCGGCCCGGGAUAGCCCAGGGAAACCUGGAUUAAUACCGGAUGAGACGGGACCCGCGAUGGCGGGAUCCGGGAAAGGCGCUGCGGCGCCGCCGGGGGAUGAGUCUGCGUCCCAUUAGCUAGACGGCAGGGUAACGGCCCACCGUGGCGACGAUGGGUAGCCGGCCUGAGAGGGUGGACGGCCACAUUGGAACUGAGACACGGUCCAGACUCCUACGGGAGGCAGCAGCUAAGAAUCUUCCGCAAUGGGCGAAAGCCUGACGGAAGCGACGCCGCGUGAACGAAGAAGGCCGUGAGGUUGUAAAGUUCUUUUCGGGAGGGGGAACAACCGUGGCAGGGAAUGGCCGCGGGAUGACGUGAAUCCCGGAAUAAGCCCCGGCUAACUACGUGCCAGCCGCGGC
Molecule: ribosomal RNA, 520 nt
Filed under: uncultured bacterium
Lineage: Bacteria
Description: bacterial SSU rRNA
Rfam family: Bacterial small subunit ribosomal RNA
Source: RNAcentral